CAGUAGCCGCGGUAAUACGGAGGGGGCUAGCGUUGUUCGGAAUUACUGGGCGUAAAGCGCACGUAGGCGGCUUGGUAAGUUAGAGGUGAAAGCCUGGAGCUCAACUCCAGAAUUGCCUUUAAGACUGCCGAGCUAGCAGGUGAGAGAGGUAAGUGGAAUUCCGAGUGUAGAGGUGAAAUUCGUAGAUAUUCGGAAGAACACCAGUGGCGAAGGCGGCUUACUGGCUCAUACUGGACGCUGAGGUGCGAAAGCGUGGGGAGCAAACAGGAUUAGAUACCCGGGUAGUCCCUGUCUCUUAUAC
RNAcentral lists this ribosomal RNA (301 nucleotides) under uncultured bacterium. Its description in RNAcentral is "partial 16S ribosomal RNA". It matches the Rfam family "Bacterial small subunit ribosomal RNA", at positions 509 to 807 of the family's 1533-position model. The record is from RNAcentral.